GGGGGGGGGGGGGGGGGGGGGGGGGGGGGGAAGUCCUCUGCCCAGGUUUUCACUCUCACCUUCGGCUGCUGGCCGCCAAUCAGAGCCCCUCUCUCAUCCCCGCCAGGGGUAUCUUCGCCAAUCAGAGCGCGCUUUUCAUCGUGGCGCUCCGCCCCCGCACUGGGGGUGUGAGCGCCGCCAGCAGGGCCCCCUGCUGUGGGGUGGCGCGGGGGGCCGCGCGCCCCCUGGUGGCCGGAAGGGGCAGAGCGGCGACACCUCCGACGUCCCUCACGCCGAAUGUUCCCGGACAGGUCGGGCCGGGCCCAUUCCCCGCUCCCUUCUGGAUAAGGAGACAUCUUCUCUACCACAGCUGUGGGACUCAGCUUAUUUAGGUUGGAAUGCUUUGUUUGCCUGGACUCAUGAACAACUGACUCCCAUCUUCAGAGGUUAA
This 430-nucleotide long non-coding RNA is filed under the name Junco hyemalis (dark-eyed junco). RNAcentral's name for it is "lncRNA (ENSJHYG00000015186.1)". The record is from RNAcentral. Lineage: Eukaryota; Metazoa; Chordata; Aves; Passeriformes; Passerellidae.